GACGAACGCUGGCGGCGUGCUUAACACAUGCAAGUCGAACGGAAAGGCCCUGCUUUUGUGGGGUGCUCGAGUGGCGAACGGGUGAGUAACACGUGAGUAACCUGCCCUUGACUUUGGGAUAACUUCAGGAAACUGGGGCUAAUACCGGAUAGGAGCUCCUGCUGCAUGGUGGGGGUUGGAAAGUUUCGGCGGUUGGGGAUGGACUCGCGGCUUAUCAGCUUGUUGGUGGGGUAGUGGCUUACCAAGGCUUUGACGGGUAGCCGGCCUGAGAGGGUGACCGGCCACAUUGGGACGGAGAUACGGCCCAGCCUCCUACGGGAGGCAGCAGUGGGGAAUAUUGCACAAUGGGCGGAAGCCUGAUGCAGCAACGCCGCGUGCGGGAUGACGGCCUUCGGGUUGUAAACCGCUUUCGCCUGUGACGAAGCGUGAGUGACGGUAAUGGGUAAAGAAGCACCGGCUAACUACGUG
RNAcentral lists this ribosomal RNA (468 nucleotides) under uncultured bacterium. RNAcentral's name for it is "partial 16S ribosomal RNA". It matches the Rfam family "Bacterial small subunit ribosomal RNA", at positions 28 to 507 of the family's 1533-position model. The record is from RNAcentral.